UGGGGAAUCUUCCGCAAUGGACGAAAGUCUGACGGAGCAACGCCGCGUGAGUGAUGACGGCCUUCGGGUUGUAAAGCUCUGUUAAUCGGGACGAAAGGCCUUCUUGCGAAUAGUUAGAAGGAUUGACGGUACCGGAAUAGAAAGCCACGGCUAACUACGUGCCAGCAGCCGCGGUAAUACGUAGGUGGCAAGCGUUGUCCGGAAUUAUUGGGCGUAAAGCGCGCGCAGGCGGAUUGGUCAGUCUGUCUUAAAAGUUCGGGGCUUAACCCCGUGAUGGGAUGGAAACUGCCAAUCUAGAGUAUCGGAGAGGAAAGUGGAAUUCCUAGUGUAGCGGUGAAAUGCGUAGAUAUAUGGAGGAACACCGGUGGCGAAAGCGGCUCUCUGGUCUGUAACUGACGCUGAGGCUCGAAAGCGUGGGGAGCGAACAGGAUUAGAUACCCUGGUAGUCCACGCCGUAAACGAUGAGUGCUAGGUGUUGGAUCCUUUCCGGGAUUCAGUGCCGCAGCUAACGCAUUAAGCACUCCGCCUGGGGAGUACGACCGCAAGGUUG
RNAcentral lists this ribosomal RNA (550 nucleotides) under uncultured bacterium. Its description in RNAcentral is "bacterial SSU rRNA". It matches the Rfam family "Bacterial small subunit ribosomal RNA", at positions 355 to 896 of the family's 1533-position model. The record is from RNAcentral.